This 1720-nucleotide long non-coding RNA is filed under the name Bemisia tabaci. RNAcentral's name for it is "lncRNA ENSSWEETPG004977". Lineage: Eukaryota; Metazoa; Arthropoda; Insecta; Hemiptera; Aleyrodidae. The record is from RNAcentral.
AUGAAGCAAGCCACUCUAUUUUUGUUAGGUGUAUUGGCCACCGUGCACACUGUCAUGAGCCACUGUGGUGCCCGUAAUUGCGGCGCCGGAUGCGGCUGCGGGGCCGGCUGGGGAUCAUACGGAGGAGGCUACGGGUCCGGAUGCGGCGUUGGGUUCGGGCGCUACGGCGGAGUGGUAGGAGGAUUUGGCAACGGACUUGGUGGCAUCGGCGGUGGUUUUGGCAGGGGAUACGGUGGUUUCGGAGGAGCUGGCGGUUUCGGAGGAGCUGGCGGUUUCGGAGGUACCGGUGGCUUCGGAGGAUUCGGAGGUGGCGCUGGAGCCGGUUCGGCCGCCGCAGCCGCUGCCGCUGCCGGAACAAUCGUACAACCGGUUUGCUGGACCAGGCAGAAUCAUCGUCCAGGAGGCACCGACCGUUGUUCCAGAAUACGUGGACAGUGCACCCAUCGUCUUAGAGCAGGAGGCUGCUCCCAGGUUCGUCUUCGGUGACUCUACCCCGGUCCGGCUAUCCCACCAGUCCAGACCGGCAGUGAUCGAGCACUUCGAGACCCCGUACAUCAUCGAUGCCGUUCAACGCACGGCCUUCAUCAACCACGCUUCUCAGCCUGUCAUCAUCGACCACUACGAACAGCCCGAGGUCAUCUCUGACGAGGGAAUCCCGGUCAUUUACGAGCCUGCCUUUGGGGGUUCUGGCUCUUCCUGCGGGUGUGGAGCAACUGGUUGUGAUGGUGGUUGUGCCAUAUCUGACUGUGCUUGCAUCUAAUCACAUUCAGAAAUGACUGUCUUUUUAAGGACUGUAAUGUGAAAAGUACAUCAAAUAAAUUCUAAUUGACAUUGACUUAUUAAACUGUUGAUUUACUUUUUGCCUUUUUUUUUUUUAUUUCGGCCUACAAUAUUAAAUGUAGAUUGAUUUAAAACACGUAUGCUCCGGCAUGUGUAGGAUCUAUAUCCAUUCAAGUCGCCUUUGAAAAAUUAUAAGAAUGAUGAUGCAAAAUUCAGCCUCCUUAAGCAUUUGGUGAGUCCUGGCUUCGGCUUAUAGCUCUCGUAAGUGUUAUUUAUCACCUUUUGUUGUAUAUUUUUCGGAGUGUCAUCGUGAUUUAUAAAGUUACAUUGCUGUCUGAAUAAAGCUGUAUUUAAGUCGCUUGAAGAAUCGGUGCCCAAUAGAAUCUAUACAGGGUGUCCCAAAAGUCCGUAACCCCCCCCCCCUCGAAACUUUUGAACGGUUAGAGAUAGAAUAACGAAACUUUGGGAAUUUCUCUAUCUUAAAGGGGACCAUCUUUUAAGGAGAUCAAAAUCUUUGUCCCCCCUCAGGGGGGCGCGGGGGCCCCCGACUUUUUUUUUCAAAUGGCAACCUCUAUCUUGUGAUACAUCAUUAGAAACAGCAUUGAAAACUAAGAAUUUUGGCGCAAACCGCAGUGCAAUAUCUUAAUUUUUGACCGAGCUAUGAUAGGUCAAAGGUCAAAUUUUACCCAUUUUCAACAAAUCAUAACUCCGGUUCAAAUUAUCGUAAAGAAAAAAAUAAAACUGGAAAAUUUACCAAAUUGUAAGCACUUUUAAGUUAAAAUCACAUAAAUCACUUCAAACUAAUUUUAAGGGGGGUUUUGGACCCCCAAAUACGUCAUUUUAAAGGUCAUAUGAUUUCCCGUGAAAUGAGCCAAUUUCUUCUUACUUUGCCUCAAUAUUCUCUUGGUAAGUUCAAAAUUAGUUCAACAUUGCGUUUUCA